RNAcentral lists this ribosomal RNA (497 nucleotides) under uncultured bacterium. RNAcentral's name for it is "partial 16S ribosomal RNA". It matches the Rfam family "Bacterial small subunit ribosomal RNA", at positions 28 to 507 of the family's 1533-position model. The record is from RNAcentral.
GACGAACGCUGGCGGCGUGCCUAAUACAUGCAAGUUGAGCGAUGAAGAUUGGUGCUUGCACCAAUUUGAAGAGCAGCGAACGGGUGAGUAACGCGUGGGGAAUCUGCCUUUGAGCGGGGGACAACAUUUGGAAACGAAUGCUAAUACCGCAUAACAACUUAAAACAUAAGUUUUAAGUUUGAAAGAUGCAAUUGCAUCACUCAAAGAUGAUCCCGCGUUGUAUUAGCUAGUUGGUGAGGUAAAGGCUCACCAAGGCGAUGAUACAUAGCCGACCUGAGAGGGUGAUCGGCCACAUUGGGACUGAGACACGGCCCAAACUCCUACGGGAGGCAGCAGUAGGGAAUCUUCGGCAAUGGACGAAAGUCUGACCGAGCAACGCCGCGUGAGUGAAGAAGGUUUUCGGAUCGUAAAACUCUGUUGGUAGAGAAGAACGUUGGUGAGAGUGGAAAGCUCAUCAAGUGACGGUAACUACCCAGAAAGGGACGGCUAACUACGUG